Molecule: ribosomal RNA, 904 nt
Filed under: uncultured fungus
Lineage: Eukaryota; Fungi
Description: SSU rRNA
Rfam family: Eukaryotic small subunit ribosomal RNA
Source: RNAcentral
UCGAAUCGCAUGGCCUUGCGCCGGCGAUGGUUCAUUCAAAUUUCUGCCCUAUCAACUUUCGAUGGUAGGAUAGUGGCCAAACAUGGUCGCAACGGGUAACGGAGGAAUUAGGGCUCGACCCCGGAGAAGGAGCCUGAGAAACGGCUACCACAUCCAAGGAAGGCAGCAGGCGCGCAAAUUACCCAAUCCCGACUACGGGGAGGUAGUGACAAUAAAUACUGAUACGGGGCUCUUUUGGGUCUCGUAAUUGGAAUGAGAACAAUUUAAAUCCCUUAACGAGGAACAAUUGGAGGGCAAGUCUGGUGCCAGCAGCCGCGGUAAUUCCAGCUCCAAUAGCGUAUAUUAAAGUUGUUGCAGUUAAAAAGCUCGUAGUUGAACCUUGGGUCUGGCUGGCCGGUCCGCCUCACCGCGAGUACUGGUCCGGCUGGACCUUUCCUUCUGGGGAACCUCAUGGCCUUCACUGGCUGUGGGGGGAACCAGGACUUUUACUGUGAAAAAAUUAGAGUGUUCAAAGCAGGCCUUUGCUCGAAUACAUUAGCAUGGAAUAAUAGAAUAGGACGUGCGGUUCUAUUUUGUUGGUUUCUAGGACCGCCGUAAUGAUUAAUAGGGAUAGUCGGGGGCGUCAGUAUCCAGCUGUCAGAGGUGAAAUUCUUGGAUUUGCUGAAGACUAACUACUGCGAAAGCAUUCGCCAAGGAUGUUUUCAUUAAUCAGGGAACGAAAGUUAGGGGAUCGAAGACGAUCAGAUACCGUCGUAGUCUUAACCAUAAACUAUGCCGACUAGGGAUCGGACGGGAUUCUAUGAUGACCCGUUCGGCACCUUACGAGAAAUCAAAGUUUUUGGGUUCUGGGGGGAGUAUGGUCGCAAGGCUGAACUUAAAGAAAUUGACGGAAGGGCACCACAAG